RNAcentral lists this unclassified non-coding RNA (265 nucleotides) under soil metagenome. RNAcentral describes it as "partial internal transcribed spacer 1". The record is from RNAcentral.
AAAAAUGAAUCUGGCAAAGCCCUUGUGGCCUUGCUUGGUGUUUCACCUGCGAAAGUGGGACUGAAACCCACACCCAAGUGUGAACCGUGUUUUGUCUCUGGCGGUGGGGUUUCGGAGGGAGAGUCAUCUCUCUCGAAGCCUGUCCAGCAGCUCUUUUCGUUGAAAGACGAGAAAGCGGCCGAGGGCAAGCCGCCAAACAUUUACAAACGCUUUUGCUAUUUUAUUUCUGUCUCACCUUUUUUUGUAUGUAUCUAAUAUACAAACA